This 1079-nucleotide long non-coding RNA is filed under the name Ananas comosus (pineapple). Its description in RNAcentral is "long non-coding RNA (ACOM_LNC040217)". The record is from RNAcentral. Lineage: Eukaryota; Viridiplantae; Streptophyta; Magnoliopsida; Poales; Bromeliaceae.
AAUAUACGGCAUCCUGGAGUUGCGAUGUCAAUUUUGAUCUAUUGGAUCAAAGUGUAGAUUGAGCUAGUUGGACAUCAUCCCCGAGUGACUUUGGACGCGUGAGAAUGAAUUCCGAUGAUAAAUAAGUGUUUCGGCGCAAAUUGGGCGCGAAACGAAAUGUAAAUAAAAUUUUCGGAAUUCUGACGCUAACUUUGAUUAAAAGAAUUAAAGCGAGGCUCGGAGAUAAUUUAUGGAGUACCCAAGUUAGUCUGGAAUGACUCGUGCCGAAAUCGGAGCGAAAACAGAAGAACUGGAAUUUUCUGUAAAGAACGGGACUGAGAAAUUAGCAGAAAAUGCACAGUGUCAGAAAAUUAUGAAAAUUGGCGGAGAUGUCAGGAACAUUGGUAUGAGGCCAAAUUUCAAGUUUCACAUUAUUCUGACACCUGUAGAGAGAGAAAUAGCAUCCGAAAGUUAUCUGAUGAAGAUUACAGUUCGGGACAGUUCGCAGUGACCAAACGGGGUCGAAACUGAAAUGUUAAAAUUUCAGUGGACUUGUUAAGNUAAAUUUUAAUUUGAACUUAAAUUAAAAAUUAAAAUUUAAUUAAGUAUUUCGAAUCUAACUUAUGAAUUUGAAUUUAAAUUAAAUUUUAAUUUAUAUAAAGUUUUAUUCAAAUUUAUUUCAAACUUAAAUUAAAUUUAUGAAUUCAAAUUAAAAUUUAAAUUGUAAUUUUAAGUUUGAAUUUGAAUAAAUCAAAAUUUAGUUUCAUAUUUUGAAUUAUCUACUCAACUUCAAAGUUUAAUUUUUUAAAAAAAUAGAUUUAAAAUUUAGACAUUAUUUCAAAAUUUUGAUGUAAAAUUUUAAUAUUUAAUUUAAUUUGAAUUUAAAUUAAUAUAUUAUAAGAUAAUGUUAGUAUAUUAAUUUGAUUACGUUUUUUAUAUCCAUCUGAACCAAACACUGACAAUGUGAAUGAUUUAUUCCGAUUCCGAUUCCGAUUCUGGUGAUGAACCAAACGGAAUUAAGUAAUGGGUCAUUCCGAUUCCGAUUUCAACUUAUUUUGAUUCCGAUUCCGAUUCUGACUCCGACUUCGGCAUAUUUAUUC